Macaca fascicularis (crab-eating macaque) is the source of this 2258-nucleotide long non-coding RNA. The record is from Ensembl. Lineage: Eukaryota; Metazoa; Chordata; Mammalia; Primates; Cercopithecidae.
UUUUUUUGUUUGUGAUUUAUAUGUUUUCUAUGAAUAGCUUUUCUCCUGAAAUUAUCAUUUAACCAAUAAUUUUUAACUUACGUCAACUGUCCCUUUUUCUUUUUUUUCAUUUUACUCUUUUUUUAAAUAAAUAAAUAUAAUGUUUUCUCAAUUUUUUUUUUGAGACGGAAUUUUACUCUGUUGCCCAGGCUGGAGUGCAGUGGUGCGACCUCAGCUCACGGCAACCACCACCUCCUGGGUUCAAGCAAUUCUCCUGCCUCAGCCUCCCAAGUAGCUGGGAUUACAGGCAUGCACCACCAAGCCCAGAUAAUUUUUUUUUGUUUUUUUGUUUUUUUGUUUUUAGUAGAGAUGGGGUUUCACUAUGUUGAUCAGGCUGAUUUUAAACUCCUGACCUUAGGUGAUUCGCCUGCCUCCGCCUCCCAAAGUGCUGGAAUUACAGGUGUGAGCCACUGUACCCAGCCUCAAAAUUUUAAAAAAGAAAAAAUAGACUUAUAAUUAAAUUAAAGUUUUUGUCUUUUCCCAAAAGUAUAUAUGUUUCCUCUGGGGUCAAUAUUCUGUUUAAUUACCUUGGUCUUUCUCUUUUAUUUUGCUAUAUUAGUAAGGAUAAUUAAUGCUACCUGCUAUUACAAAUAAUCUCAAAAUUCUUAGUCCCUUAAUCCAGUGUAAGUUGUCUUGCUUUGCUUUCACCUCACGUAAAGGCCAGUUCCUGGUCAGAGAGUCCUACGGGGCAACUUUCCUAUAAGAGAUGACUCAGAGAUGCAGGGCACCACUACUCUAGGAUUCCCAUUAUUGCUGCAAAAAGUGAGAGAGGAGUAUCACAUGUAGGAGAUUUUGUGUUUCUGGCAAAGCCUGGGUGACUUACGUUUCUACUGCAUUCCCCUAUUUAGAAUUGGUCAUCAGGCCCAAUCUAGAUGCAAGGAUACUGGGAAAUGUAGUUUUUCUAUACUCCCCAGAGGAUGAUAAAAUGGUUUGAUAAAUCUAUAGAAUUGUCUUUGCCAGAGCCUUUUGCUUUUCUUUUUAAUCAAAUGUCUGCUGAUACUCAGUUGUCCAAUAUGAUUAUGAAUUUAGAAAUGUUGAUUAUUACCUGUAACUGACUAACAUUUCUUCUGAUACUAGUUUCCUUUUCCCUGCAUACAAAGACUGCAAGAUUUCUGUUUGUGGGUGUGGUAUGUGGACAGGCAGGCUAUACUCUAAGAUAAGCAAGCUGGCAGCCUGUGCCCUGAAAGCCAUUGCCCGUCUUAGGCUGAUAGUUUAUUCAGUCUCACUUUAUAGGCACUUUCCUUACACAUACUCAGGUGUGCGACGUGUGACUCAGCAGGCGUUGGACAUACAGUUCUUCAAUCAGUUGUCCUACUUUAAGCACUUUCUCAUGCUUUGACUACAUCUCUAAGAGUUUAUAGAAUGCUGUAAAAAUGACCCUGCCUCACCUGUUGCUUUCUCUUCUACCUGUAUUGAGCUAGGCUCUUUUCGCUCUGAUUUAUAUUAAGUCACCUUGGCCAUAGCCGUCUCUGGUCUUUCAGAAACUCAUGAAAUCUUAUUUAUUUAUUAUUAUUUUUUUGAGACGGAUUCUCGCUCUGUCGCCCAGGCUGGAGUGCAGUGGUGCGAUCUCAGCUCACGGCAAGCUCCGCCUCCUGGGUUCAAGGGAUUCUCCUGCCUCAGCCUCCCAAGCAGCUGGGACUACAGGUACCCGCCACCACGCCUGGCUAAUUUUUUUGUAUUUUUAGUAGAGACAGAGUUUCACUGUGUUAGCCAGGAUGGUCUCGAUCUCCUGACCUCGUGAUCUGCCCACCUCAGCCUUAAAAUCUUAUUUUGUUAAUAUUCUCCAUCCAGUAUUUGACAAUUAUGUUCUUUUCUUCUCUUUUAUACUUUUUCCUAUAACAUAUUUCUAUUCUUUAUUGCUUUUAUUUUGGAGUGAGGGGAGAUAAAUGAGUUUUUCUCAAGCUAUGAUCUUGAACUUAAAUUUUUCACUUAGCAUAAUAUGAUGUUCCAUACUAAUAAAACUAUUUUGCAUAUCAUUAAGUAAUAUUCUAAAGUAAGUUUUGAAAUAUGAAUAUUUAUAAUUUACUAUAAUUUACCUACUAAUUUCCUCUGGUUGAAUAUUUAUGUUAUUUCUGUAUUUUCUUUCUUCCUUCCUUCCUUCCUUCCUCUGUCCUUGCUUCCUUCCUUCCUAUUUUCCUUCCUUCCUUCCUUCCUUCCUUCCUUCCUUCCUCUCUCUUUCUUUCUUUCUUCUUUCUUUUCUUUCUUUCUUCUUUCUUUCC